ACAUGACAGUCAAUUUUUUCGAGAGUUUGAUCCUGGCUCAGGAUGAACGCUGGCUGUGUGCCUAAUACAUGCAUGUCGAGCGGAGUUCUUCGGAACUUAGCGGCGAAUGGGUGAGUAACACGUACUUAACAUACCCUUUAGAUUGGAAUAACGAUUAGAAAUGAUCGCUAAUGCCGGAUACUUAUAUUUAUCGCAUGAAAAAUAUAUAAAAGGAGCGUUUGCUUCGCUAGAGGAUUGGGGUGCGUAACAUUAGCUAGUUGGUAGGGUAAUGGCCUACCAAGGCUAUGAUGUUUAGCGGGGUUGAGAGACUGAUCCGCCACACUGGGACUGAGAUACGGCCCAGACUCCUACGGGAGGCAGCAGUAGGGAAUUUUCCACAAUGGACGAAAGUCUGAUGGAGCGACACAGCGUGCAGGAUGACGGCCUUCGGGUUGUAAACUGCUGUUAUAAGGGAAGAAAAAAUAAAGUAGGAAAUGACUUUAUCUUGACGGUACCUUGUCAGAAAGCAACGGCUAACUAUGUGCCAGCAGCCGCGGUAAUACAUAGGUUGCAAGCGUUAUCCGGAAUUAUUGGGCGUAAAGCGUCUGUAGGUUGUUUGUUAAGUCUGACGUGAAAACUUGGGGCUCAACCCCAAAUUGCGUUGGAUACUGGCGAACUAGAGUUAUGAAGAGGUUAGCGGAAUUCCUUGUGAAGCGGUGAAAUGCGUAGAUAUAAGGAAGAACACCAAUUUGGCGAAGGCAGCUAACUGGGCAUACACUGACACUGAGAGACGAAAGCGUGGGGAGCAAACAGGAUUAGAUACCCUGGUAGUCCACGCUGUAAACGAUGAUGAUUAGCUGAUGGGGAACUCAUCGGCACAGCUAACGCAUUAAAUCAUCCGCCUGAGUAGUAUGCUCGCAAGAGUGAAACUUAAAGGAAUUGACGGGGAUCCGCACAAGCGGUGGAGCAUGUGGUUUAAUUUGAUUCUACGCGUAGAACCUUACCCACUCUUGACAUCUUCCGCAAAGCUAUAGAGAUAUAGUGGAGGUCAACGGAAUGACAGAUGGUGCAUGGUUGUCGUCAGCUCGUGUCGUGAGAUGUUCGGUUAAGUCCUGCAACGAGCGCAACCCUUGUCCUUAGUUAAAUGUUCUAAGGAGACUGCCCGAGUAAUUGGGAGGAAGGUGGGGACGACGUCAAAUCAUCAUGCCUCUUACGAGUGGGGCAACACACGUGCUACAAUGGACGGUACAAAGAGACGCAAUACGGCGACGUGGAGCAAAUCUCAAAAAACCGUUCUCAGUUCGGAUUGUAGUCUGCAACUCGACUACAUGAAGUCGGAAUCGCUAGUAAUCGUAGAUCAGCUACGCUACGGUGAAUACGUUCUCGGGUCUUGUACACACCGCCCGUCACACCAUGGGAGCUGGUAAUGCCCGAAGUCGGUUUUGUUAACUACGGAGACAACUGCCUAAGGCAGGACUGGUGACUGGGGUGAAGUCGUAACAAGGUAUCCCUACGAGAACGUGGGGAUGGAUUACCUCCUUUCUA
RNAcentral lists this ribosomal RNA (1524 nucleotides) under Mycoplasmopsis anatis. RNAcentral's name for it is "Mycoplasma anatis 16S ribosomal RNA". It matches the Rfam family "Bacterial small subunit ribosomal RNA". The record is from RNAcentral. Lineage: Bacteria; Bacillati; Mycoplasmatota; Mycoplasmoidales; Metamycoplasmataceae.